UCUCCGUAGGUGAACCUGCGGAGGGAUCAUUACAGAGUUCAUGCCCUACCGGGUAGAUCUCCCACCCUAUGUUAUUAUUACUUUGUUGCUUUGGCGGGCCGUUAGGCUCCGGCCCGACUACCGGCCCCGGCUGGUAAGCGCCCGCCAGAGGACCCAAAACCCUGAAUAUUAGUGUCGUCUGAGUACUAUAUAACAGUUAAAACUUUCAACAACGGAUCUCUUGGCUCUG
Molecule: unclassified non-coding RNA, 229 nt
Filed under: plant metagenome
Description: partial contains small subunit ribosomal RNA, internal transcribed spacer 1, and 5.8S ribosomal RNA
Source: RNAcentral